RNAcentral lists this microRNA precursor (98 nucleotides) under Urocitellus parryii (Arctic ground squirrel). RNAcentral describes it as "Spermophilus parryii (Arctic ground squirrel) mir-544 microRNA precursor family". It matches the Rfam family "mir-544 microRNA precursor family". The record is from Rfam by way of RNAcentral. Lineage: Eukaryota; Metazoa; Chordata; Mammalia; Rodentia; Sciuridae. RNAcentral also lists the same sequence under 2 other names.
AUCACCUGGAAAUCUUGUUAGAAUGCAGAUUCUCAUUCAGUAGGUCUGGGAUGAGGCCUGAGAUUCUGCAUUUAUAACCAGCUUCCAGGUGAUGCUGA